RNAcentral lists this ribosomal RNA (688 nucleotides) under Bacillus sp. CECRI-8/07. Its description in RNAcentral is "bacterial SSU rRNA". It matches the Rfam family "Bacterial small subunit ribosomal RNA", at positions 708 to 1392 of the family's 1533-position model. The record is from RNAcentral. Lineage: Bacteria; Bacillati; Bacillota; Bacilli; Caryophanales; Bacillaceae.
CCGCCGAACGGCGCUCCUCCGGUUUUUAAACGUCCGUUGAGGCGUGAAAGUGUGGGGAGAGAACAGGAUUAGAUACCCUGGUAGUCCACGCAGUAAUAGAUGAGUGCUAAGCGUAAGACGGUUUCCCGCCCUUUAGUGGUUGCAGCAAACGCAUUAAGCACUCCCGCUUGGGGAGUACGGCCGGCAAGGCUGAAACUCAAAGGAAUUGACGGGGGCCCGCACAAGCGGCGGAGCAUGUGGUUUAAUUCGAAGCAACGCGAAGAACCUUACCAGGUCUUGACAUCCUCUGACGACCCUAGAGAUAGGGCGUUCCCCUUCGGGGGACAGAGUGACAGGUGGUGCAUGGUUGUCGUCAGCUCGUGUCGUGAGAUGUUGGGUUAAGUCCCGCAACGAGCGCAACCCUUGAUUUAGUUGCCAGCAUUCAGUUGGGCACUCUAAGGUGACUGCCGGUGACAAACCGGAGGAAGGUGGGGAUGACGUCAAAUCAUCAUGCCCCUUAUGACCUGGGCUACACACGUGCUACAAUGGAUGGAACAAAGGGCCGCAAAACCGCGAGGUCGAGCCAAUCCCAUAAAUCCAUUCUCAGUUCGGAUUGCAGGCUGCAACUCGCCUGCAUGAAGCCGGAAUCGCUAGUAAUCGCGGAUCAGCAUGUCGCGCUGAAUACGUUACGUGGCAACAAGGACACCAG